GGAGGGAGCGAGCGUUGUUCGGAAUCACUGGGCGUAAAGGGCGCGUAGGCGGCCGAGUAAGUCGUGUGUGAAAGACCGGGGCUCAACUCCGUGUACUGCAUGCGAUACUGCUCGGCUAGAGAAAGGUAGAGGCGAGUGGAAUUCCCGGUGUAGCGGUGGAAUGCGUAGAUAUCGGGAAGAACACCUGUGGCGAAGGCGGCUCGCUGGGCCUUUUUCUGACGCUGAAGUGCGAAAGCGUGGGGGGGAGCAAACAGGAUUAGAUACCCUGGUAGUCCACGCCGUAAACGAUGGGCACUAGGCGUUGGGAGGAUUGACCCUCUCAGUGCCGUAGCUAACGCGUUAAGUGCCCCCGCCUGGGAGUACGGCCGCAAGGCUG
RNAcentral lists this ribosomal RNA (376 nucleotides) under uncultured organism. RNAcentral's name for it is "partial 16S ribosomal RNA". It matches the Rfam family "Bacterial small subunit ribosomal RNA", at positions 527 to 896 of the family's 1533-position model. The record is from RNAcentral.